This is a long non-coding RNA of Setaria italica (foxtail millet), 3124 nucleotides long. RefSeq lists it as uncharacterized. The transcript has 3 exons. The record is from RefSeq and is a predicted model, not a curated record. NCBI's taxonomy places the organism in Eukaryota, Viridiplantae, Streptophyta, Magnoliopsida, Poales, Poaceae.
CCCGACCCGGCGAGGAGAGCACACUGCCCAGUGCCCACGCGGCCACGCCCGCCGCACCCCGCACGGCCUCGGCGCCGCCUGUCUGGCUGUCUCGCCGCUCGCUCAUCCGCCGUACCGGCGUUCAGCAUUCGUCUGACACCCAGCCGUUCCCACCAGUUCGCGCGCCUAAAUGCGCCGCCGCCGCCACCCGUUCUCGCCUCGUCACCACUCGCCAGAUCUAACGCGUCGCGUAACCGUCGUCUGCUGGCGCGUCGUGCCCGCGCGGUGGCGAGCAAGUGACGGCGGCGAGGCCGCGAGGGAGGGAAUGUACGCCGCUGCCGGACUCCUCCCCACUUCCACCGCACUCCAUGGGCAGGCGAGGGUUCCCGGAAGCAACGCACCAGCGGCAGGUUUGUGUGGGGAUGCCUUACUGAGGAAGAUGCAAAUAAGCUAAGGGAAGGGAAUCAAGAUUGGUUUACUUCUCCUAAUCAAGUAUGCCCUCGUUAUCAAAUCCACAUUGGGUUACGCGGUUUCUAGCUGGAAGGUUUGGUGAUCCAGGUUGCUUUUUCGUUGAAUUUACUGAUAGAAUUUGAUGAUGAAACACCGGGCAAUUACUUUCAUCCAAAAUUUCUAAUCUAGCGUUCUUUUCAAAAGGAACUCAUCUUCACAACAUGGGCUUGAAGCAUUAGAGUUUGAUGUUAAAUUCAAAAUUUAGAAGGAAAAAAUCGCUGCAUAUCUAUAAGACAUAUCACUGUAACGUUGUUGCACUUGUCGGUAAGAGCAGGAACAAGAUAAUAAUUGGUGUAAUCAGAUGUUUCCUAUCGUUUUCUAGCUCAACCUCACCAUUUACAAAUAAAGUUCCCAGAACUUGCUAGUAGGUUAGCUAAUAUUAGUUUAAAGCUCAAGCAACGUCUUGCAGCAUUGGUUACAUGAUGACACAUGUGAUCUAGUACAGUUCUUGUCAAGUGACCAGUGAAAUAAGUGAAAUAAGCUAACAUUAUUGAUUGCUUAUUGUCAUUCUUAUAUGCAAUCAACAUAGAUGUAGGGUUGCGGGGAAUCAAACAGUAAACAUACAUUUCUUAUCUUUGUCUUUGAUUUGUAGAACAAGUCAGACAUGAUGGAAUUGACCUACCACCUAGAAUAAUCUCAUUUUUAGUGCCAUCAGUACUGAAAAAUUAAGCCACCUUUUUCAUUUAGUUUUUGUUAAGCUGGGUCUGUCCCCCAUCCGCGCACACACAAAAAUUGGUACAGAUGCAAAAAUGUUCACAAUCUUAAAUUGCAAAGGGGAAAAUAUCAUCAGACUUCCACCUUCUAAUUUUCAUGUGCUGCCUGAUCAGAUUGUGUGCUCAUGAAUAUUUGCUAAUUUGCAUUGUGAUAUAGCUAUGCUAUUAGAUGUUUAAAACGGCAUCUUGCUCUGGGCUUUGCAGUUUGCUUAUGCUAUCACUUAAAGAUCACAAUUCUAGCAACUAACCCUGACUACUGGAAAUAGCAUGUUGAAGGACCUCUCUAUUAGCAUGGAUGCUUUUAGCAUUAUUUAUUUCUUUUAUGUCUGGCAUCACCAAGUUUACCCUAUGUAAUAGGCUAAUAGCAGACAUUUUCAGGAAUGAAAUAGUAUGAUGGAAUGAAUGACACCAUCCAUGCAGGUUGUAGGAUCAAGCCCCCAUAACAUAUGGUUGCAAACUAAGACUAUUAAUCAUGUCCUAGUGUGAUGAUUAGUUCUACCAAGUGUCAACCAAAAAUCUCUCAAGCUGGCAGGAUACACAAAUCGCAUUCAAGCCUUUUCAUCAAUGUAAUGCAGGUCUUUCAAGAUUCAUUCUGACACUCUUACAUAAUUGUCAUCACCAUUGAUCUUGAGGGUAGUUACUCUAUUUCAUACAGAUGGGCAAUGGCCAUUGACUUGUUUUAACUACUUCUACCAUCGUCAAAAUAUUUGUUAUUCUACAACUUCUAGGCAACUUUAACCUGUUGUUUCUAGUCUUACCAUUCCUUUAUUGCAUCAUUAACUUGCUUCUUUCUCCAUGCAUGCACACUUUAGAGCAGAUGAACUGUGAGUAAGAUGGUCAUUUUAUCUACCUCCUCAAUUGAGUAAGGGAGUAUUAUUUAUAUGUGCUGAAAGGAUUUCUAGAAAUUUCUCUUGUAGAUAGACAUAUGCAUGAAUAAGCAACAUAAACUUGUAUCUGUCGACAGAUCUGUGUGCACUUCAAAACCAUCUCUUUUUUGCAUCAGAUAGUUAAGAUUUAAGAGUGUUGGUUAGGAUGGACAGAGCCACUAACAAGGAUAUGGUGCUCGUCCAUUCCGCUAGUGUGGCAUCCUAGUGCACUGCAUUACAUUUUGCUUGCAGUUUACACAAGAUUACAAAGGUCUUUGGUGCUCCAAGAUAUAGUUUUAGGCUUUAGCUGCAGAUUGGUCCAGAACUUGAAUCACAAAAAUCUACACGGUCAUGCUAAGGAUCUCUUGAGAGUGCCUUUCUCAUCUAAAUUUUCCAAAGCACGUUAUACUGAAUUGACUUAGUUUUUUUGUUACAGAGCCUAGUCAUUUCUUCCCCCUUGUCAGCAAAAUGAGUCAUCUACCUGCAGAAAUCUACAUUGUUUGCCGACCAUGUUUCUGACCAGAAAUGGACAGAGGCCUGGCCUGUGGUUGGCUCACCUAUUACAGGUUGUCAAUUAGUAACUACAGGUCUGAGCAAGGUAAGCGACAAUGCAGCAUAUAUGUGACCUUGUCCUUUCAUGGUUCCUUGCACCUUCCAGGUGGCAUUGCUACUGUGUAAAUAUAUAUUUAUGUAGAAGCUAGUAAAACAUAGGCACAAAGUAGAAAUGCCGACCUACCACUAUUUUAUAAUUUAAACAAAUCACACGGGUCUCAGCCCUAGUUGACAAGACAUGAACGCUGAAACCAUUGAAUCUGUCCAGAAGUGAGCUCCAGUCUCUUCUCUGUUCCCAUAUCCUUGUUGGGGAUUUACUCGUCAACUGAUAGUGUGAUACUAGGAGUUCUGCUCCUCAUGGAGCAGAAAACAACUACAAGUUGGCUUAUCCUUGCCCAUUGGUAAUAAGCAGUAGCAAUUGUGGCCCUGUAAGUAGUUUUCAGUCUCAGAGAACCUGUAUUUCUGGAAUUCUGGUGCAGUGAGUCAUCAUCUUGUUCAUCUUCC